RNAcentral lists this ribosomal RNA (462 nucleotides) under uncultured bacterium. RNAcentral's name for it is "partial 16S ribosomal RNA". It matches the Rfam family "Bacterial small subunit ribosomal RNA", at positions 28 to 507 of the family's 1533-position model. The record is from RNAcentral.
GAUGAACGCUGACAGAAUGCUUAACACAUGCAAGUCUUUGGCGAAGCUGUGCUUGCACAGCCUAGCCAAGGCGGACGGGUGAGUAACGCGUAAGGAACUUGCCCUGCAGUCAGGGAUAACAGACGGAAACGACUGAUAAGACCUGGUAAAGUCAGGCGGACUCAUGUCCAGCCUGAUGAAAAGAGAUGCUGCAGGAGAGCCUUGCGUCCUAUUAGCUUGUUGGUGGGGUAACGGCCCACCAAGGCGAUGAUAGGUAGCCGGCCUGAGAGGGUGGACGGCCACAAGGCGACUGAGAUACGGCCCUUACUCCUACGGGAGGCAGCAGUGGGGAAUAUUGGACAAUGGGGGCAACCCUGAUCCAGCAAUUCUGUGUGCACGAUGAAGGUUUUCGGAUUGUAAAGUGCUUUCAGCAGGGAAGAAAAAAUGACGGUACCUGCAGAAGAAGCGACGGCUAAAUACGUG